Long non-coding RNA from Papaver somniferum (opium poppy), 2050 nucleotides. RefSeq lists it as uncharacterized. The record is from RefSeq and is a predicted model, not a curated record. The transcript has 3 exons. Lineage: Eukaryota; Viridiplantae; Streptophyta; Magnoliopsida; Ranunculales; Papaveraceae.
CUAAAAAUAUGUCCGGCAUUCUUCUUCUUUCUCUUCCAGGAGAGAUCAUCAAGGAAAUACUCUCAAGGUUACCGGUUCAAUCUAUCUUAGCAUUCAGGUGCGUAUGCAAACCUUUUCUUGAAUUAUUAGGUGAUCUUCGUCGAGAUAAAGAGUUCGUCAAGCUACACCUUAAUAAUGCUAUUAAGAGCAACUACUUGAAUAUCAUGUUAACGGGAAAUAAUAGAAUGUAUUCAGUAGGUUAUUUUGAUGCAUCGUCACCGUUAUCAUGCAAGAAUGCUAUUGAGAUAAACUAUCCAUUAAAAUCUGAUUGCAAUGAUAAAGAUGUUAGAAUUUGGGGUUCCUGUAAUGGCUUGCUUUGCUUUGGGAUUUUUGAGGAUGAUUGUAUUUGUUUAUGGAACCCAUCUACAGGAGAGUACAGGAAAAUACCACUUCCGCCAUUAACUUCAGGUUUUUCAUGCCGCAUACGGGUCAUAUGGGUUUGGUUAUGAUUACUUGAAUGAUGAUUACAAGUUGGUUAGGAUAUUAUUUGGGGACGAUAACAAAUCUGAAGUACAAGUCUAUACGCUAGGAACAAGUUUAUGGAAAAGCCUCGGGAAAGCCCCUAUUAAUGUGCAUCUUUACGGGAAACGUGGUGUCUAUCUUCAUGGAUGUGUUCGCUGGAGAGGAAGUAUCACUAACGCUUAUCUUCCCCAACAUGUUAUAGACACUUUCAGCUUGAACAAUGAGGGCUUCGAGGUAUUGUCGUUACCGAUAAAUUUUGAUAACGGUAUAAUGAUCAAUGACUUGAGUGUGUUGCGUGGAUGCCUUUGCUUAGUUUCUACUCAGCCAGGAUGUCUUACUGAUGUAUGGUUGAUGACGGAAUAUGGAGUGGUAGAAUCUUGGACCGUAUUGUUCACGAUAUAUCAUGAUACGAUUGAUAAGUAUUACCUAUAUACGAGCGAGAUGGUAUUUUCUCUCAAAAAUGGUGAGAUUCUUUCACAGUCUACCGUUAAAAGAUCCGAUGAUUAUGAGUGGCUUGGUUGUUUUGUCUUAUAUGAUGAAAAGAAGAACACAAUCAGGGAUGUUACUAUCGAAGGUCUUCCUAACGAAUUCCAAGCAGAAACGUGCCUACAGAGCUUUGUUUCACUUUAAGUCGGGUACAUACCGAGGGGAUCGAGAUUAACUAUAAGCUGGUGAAGCAACAUCAAAGAACAUGAACAAUGAAGGGAGGAGGUACAUCCGUACAGGGGAGAAUACACCUUCAAGCAUGAAUAGCCCGCCAUCAAAGUUAUCAAGGAGAAGUUAGAUUCUACCCAAACGGGAAAGUUUAAGAGACACAUGUUUUAGCCAUCCAGUGAGCCUGGCAGAAACUCAAAUUCUGUAGAAAUUUGAGAUAUUCAAGAAUUGAAUUCAAUAUACAUACAAAGGCAACUAUAGGUGUUGAACUUCAGACACAAAGUAUGGAAAUUGAUGGGGGAAGAAGUUAAAGCUCAGAUUUGGGAUACUGCUGGUCAAGAAAGAUUUGGAGCUGUUACUUCUGCUUGUUAUAGAGGUGCUGUUACAAGAAGGACUACUUUUGAUAGCGUUGGUCGUUGGCUUGAUGAACUCAACAGAAGUGAUAAGUCUGAUUGUUAUGGAACAACUGUGCGGUACAUUCUGAUACAACUAUAGGGUGGAUGCUGGUUGGGGACAAGAGCGGGUUAGGGAAUAUGGGAGAUGUAGUGUUGAAGAAAGGAAAAGCUUAGCAGAGGCAGAAGGGUUGUUCUUCAUGGAGACAUCUUCCUUAUGUUUAACCAAUGUCUUAACUGCUUACGAAAUGGUUAUCAAAGAAAUAUAGUUGUAUCCAACAAUGUAAGUCGGAAAGUCUUGAAUUCUGAGCUUACAAAGCUGAAUUGUCUACCAAAAGCGUCAGUCUUUUUGACGAAAAAUGUUCAAGAUGACUUUCAAAUCCAGCACAGGUAUUUGAGUUUGCUCGAUUAAUUGCUAGUCAUACAUUUGAUGGAGGAUGUCUUUACUUUUGAUUUUUAUACCCCACUGAAGUGUUUCGCCAUUGGAGAUGAUUUUUUUUGGU